RNAcentral lists this small RNA (27 nucleotides) under Bombyx mori (domestic silkworm). RNAcentral's name for it is "ovarian small RNA-35986". Lineage: Eukaryota; Metazoa; Arthropoda; Insecta; Lepidoptera; Bombycidae. The record is from RNAcentral.
UGUUAAAUGGUUUAGGUGGCGUGAAGA